Molecule: microRNA, 23 nt
Filed under: Strongylocentrotus purpuratus (purple sea urchin)
Lineage: Eukaryota; Metazoa; Echinodermata; Echinoidea; Camarodonta; Strongylocentrotidae
Description: Spu-Mir-96-P3_3p* (star (passenger))
Source: RNAcentral
GCUGGUUCUACAGUGCCAUUGCA